RNAcentral lists this ribosomal RNA (1019 nucleotides) under uncultured organism. RNAcentral describes it as "bacterial SSU rRNA". It matches the Rfam family "Bacterial small subunit ribosomal RNA", at positions 355 to 1375 of the family's 1533-position model. The record is from RNAcentral.
UGAGGAAUAUUGGUCAAUGGACGAGAGUCUGAACCAGCCAAGUAGCGUGAAGGAUGACUGCCCUAUGGGUUGUAAACUUCUUUUAUACGGGAAUAAAGUGAGGCACGUGUGCCUUUUUGUAUGUACCGUAUGAAUAAGGAUCGGCUAACUCCGUGCCAGCAGCCGCGGUAAUACGGAGGAUCCGAGCGUUAUCCGGAUUUAUUGGGUUUAAAGGGAGCGUAGGCGGACGCUUAAGUCAGUUGUGAAAGUUUGCGGCUCAACCGUAAAAUUGCAGUUGAUACUGGGUGUCUUGAGUACAGUUGAGGUAGGCGGAAUUCGUGGUGUAGCGGUGAAAUGCUUAGAUAUCACGAAGAACUCCGAUUGCGAAGGCAGCUUACUAACCUGUAACUGACAUUGAUGCUCGAAAGUGUGGGUAUCAAACAGGAUUAGAUACCCUGGUAGUCCACACGGUAAACGAUGAAUACUCGCUGUAGGCGAUAUACAGUCUGCGGCCAAGCGAAAGCAUUAAGUAUUCCACCUGGGGAGUACGCCGGCAACGGUGAAACUCAAAGGAAUUGACGGGGGCCCGCACAAGCGGAGGAACAUGUGGUUUAAUUCGAUGAUACGCGAGGAACCUUACCCGGGCUUAAAUUGCAACCGAAUAUGGCGGAAACGCUAUAGCUAGCAAUAGCGGUUGUGAAGGUGCUGCAUGGUUGUCGUCAGCUCGUGCCGUGAGGUGUCGGCUUAAGUGCCAUAACGAGCGCAACCCUUGCCGAUAGUUACUAACAGGUUAUGCUGAGGACUCUGUCGGGACUGCCAUCGUAAGAUGUGAGGAAGGUGGGGAUGACGUCAAAUCAGCACGGCCCUUACGUCCGGGGCUACACACGUGUUACAAUGGGGGGUACAGAGGGCUGCUACCACGCAAGUGGAUGCCAAUCCCAAAAACCUCUCUCAGUUCGGAUUGAAGUCUGCAACCCGACUUCAUGAAGCUGGAUUCGCUAGUAAUCGCGCAUCAGCCACGGCGCGGUGAAUACGUUCCC